GGGGUUUCGGAGUAAGCUGUUGCCAAUGGCGAAACCAGGUCGAGGCCGUGCGGCUUCACCGUCAGGCUCGUCUUCUCGUUCCCGGUCUCGUUCCCGUUCCCGGUCUCGCUCUUACACUCCUUCAAACUCUCGCUCCUCAAGUUCGCGUUCUCCAUCUCGAUCUAGAUCCCGCUCCAGAUCAAUUUCUUCAUCUUCCUCUGCUUCCCGGAGUGCAAGUUCUCGCAGCCCUAGUCGUCGCCCUCCAUCUCAACGAAAAAGCCCUGCUGGAGUAUCUAAGCGAGGCCGCUCGCCGCCACCACCACCAGAGUCUAAGAAAGCUUCUCCACCUCCAAGGAAAGUAUCUCCUAUACCUGAGUCGCGUGUAAUUCAUGUGGAUCAACUCAGCAGGAAUGUCAAUGAAAACCAUUUGAAAGAAAUAUUUGGUAAUUUUGGUGAAAUUCUGCAUGUGCAGUUGGCCAUUGAUCAUGUUGUUAAUCUUCCCAAAGGGUUUGCUUAUGUUGAGUUCAAGACUAGAAUUGAUGCUGAGAAAGCCCAACUACACAUGGAUGGUGCUCAGAUUGAUGGGAAAGUAGUUCAUGCCAGGUUUACCCUUCCUGAGCGAAAGAAGGCUGCCUCACCUCCAAGGGCUGUUGCAACUUCCUCAAGAAGAGAUGCUCCGAGAACCGAUAAUGCUCCUGUUGAUGUGGAGAAAGAUGGACCAAAACGGCAACAAGAGUUAUCUCCUCGUCGAAAGCCUGCUUCUUCACCUCGGAGGUCCCCUAUAGGACGAAGAGGGUCUCCUAGACGUGGGCCAGAUUCUCCUGUUCGCCGUCGAGCAAAUUCUCCUUUUAGGCGCGGCAGUCCACCACCCCACAGGAGGAGGCCUGCAUCUCCCAUGAGGCGCCGUUCACCAUCCCCUCCACUAAGACGUCAUCGGACACCUCCUAGGGGCUCUCCCAGAAGAAUUCGUGGCAGUCCUGUUAGAAGACGUUCUCCCCUUCCGCCAAGGCGUCGUUCUCCACGACGUGCUAGAAGUCCACCCAGAAGAUCUCCGAUUGGUCGUCGGUCCCGUUCACCUAUUAGAAGGCCUCUCCGGUCACGAUCAAGAUCCAUUUCUCCUAGGCGGGGAAGGGGUGCAGCUGCAAGACGUGGGAGGUCAUCA
RNAcentral lists this unclassified non-coding RNA (1141 nucleotides) under Hevea brasiliensis (rubber tree). Lineage: Eukaryota; Viridiplantae; Streptophyta; Magnoliopsida; Malpighiales; Euphorbiaceae. The record is from RNAcentral.